This 468-nucleotide ribosomal RNA is filed under the name uncultured bacterium. RNAcentral describes it as "partial 16S ribosomal RNA". It matches the Rfam family "Bacterial small subunit ribosomal RNA", at positions 28 to 507 of the family's 1533-position model. The record is from RNAcentral.
GACGAACGCUGGCGGCGUGCUUAACACAUGCAAGUCGAACGGAAAGGCCCUGCUUUUGUGGGGUGCUCGAGUGGCGAACGUGUGAGUAACACGUGAAUAACCCGCCCUUUACUUUGGGAUAACUUCAGGAAACUGGGGCUAAUACCGGAUAGGAGCUCCUGCUGCAGGGUGGGGGUUGGAAAGUUUCGGCGGUUGGGGAUGGACUCGCGGCUUAUCAGCUUGUUGGUGGGGUAGUGGCUUACCAAGGCUUUGACGGGUAGCCGGCCUGAGAGGGCGACCGGCCACAUUGGGACUGAGAUACGGCCCAGACGGCUACGGGAGGCAGCAGUGGGGAAUAUUGCACAAUGGGCGGAAGCGUGAUGCAGCAACGCUGCGUGCGGGAUGACGGCCUUCGGGUUGUAAACCGCUUUCGCCUGUGACGAAGCGGGAGUGACGGUAAUGGAUAAAGAAGCACCGGCUAACUACGUG